Molecule: long non-coding RNA, 2275 nt
Organism: Perognathus longimembris pacificus (Pacific pocket mouse)
Lineage: Eukaryota; Metazoa; Chordata; Mammalia; Rodentia; Heteromyidae
Exons: 4
Source: RefSeq, a predicted model, not a curated record
AAGUAAUAGAUACACAAUUUUUACCUCUGAAGAGUAAAUUCAUAUUUUGGACCUUCAUUAAAAAAUGUAUUCAGAUAAAAAAAUAAAUUUGUGCUUAUUAGGUUAGAGACUUUUUAUCUUGGAAGCAAUCAGAGUUUGAUCAAACAGUAAAACAGGAAAUCUGUAAUAUGACAGUGUUUUUAUAAUGGAAAUUAAAAUAGACGAAAAGGCAUUUAACACAUGGACUUCUGUAUUUGAUUGCAGCUCUGGAAUCAGUAAGACAUGUUGUUUCAGGCUUAUUGCUUGGUCCUUGUUUUAAAUGAGAAUAGUAUUUGUUCUGAUUUUAGUGGGUGUCUGUUAUGGGUCCAUCCUAUUUCAAAAGAAUACAUCUCCUGCCAUAAUUCAUAAGGUUCACAAGCAUGUUGUGCAAUGAAUAAAUACUGGGUAAAUGUAUACCAAAUGGAGUUUUCUUAGUAUGGAAUAUAGCAAAUAUUUAGAAAAACUAACCAUGGCUACUUUCAGGAAAUAAAUCAUUUUUCAUGACAGCUAUCUUGAUCCUAUUUCUGUCUAAUUUCUCACUUUCAACUUUUUUUUUUACCAUACUAUUUAGUGCAAUUUGGAUUUACUUAUCAAAAUAUUUAUUGUUUUUAAUCAUAGGAUCCACUUAUAAUAGGAUAUACUUUCCAAAUUCUUGAUAUUUAAAGUAGAAAAAUAAGUUUUACUUGUUAAACCAUUCUGAGUAGAAUUUUUGAAGACUUAUCUGACUUUAAAGACAAAAGAAAUUUCAACUGAUUCCAAUUAUUUUGUGUUUUUUCUUAUGCUGUUUUUUUACUAUUCUGGGAAUAACUUUUCUUUUAUAUAAGGUACUUACUCUGUUUAGAUGCUGACAACCACAUUUUAGUGCACACAUACACACACAGUUGAGGAAAUCAGAAUAAAAGUAACUGAGGGUAUAUUUUUAACAUGUACGUGAGUUUGACAUUAAAUUGAUUAAGAUUUGAAAAUUAUUUUCAAAUAGUAUAUUUGUACUGUGUCUUUUAAAGUGGGUUUUGAGUAACUUGGUAUUUAUUUUAUGUCUAGUCAGUCUGUUACCAUCAGACCAAAACAAGAUAGAGUAUUUUUGUUUUGACAAGAACAAUGUUAAACAUUAGAUUGGUUUUGCACAUAGAAACUUGAUGGGUUCAGCUCAUUUGAAUGUAUCUAUUUGUAUUACUGGCACUAGCAAUAUGAAGAAGGAAGGAAGGAAAAAUAAAGACAGUGGUACUCCACGAGCACAUGGAUAGGUCUAGAUGGUGUCUUGCUGAUGCUGUUCCUGCAUGCCAGGUGGAUGUGAUUGGCCUUGACUGCUAGGAACACUGGCGCCUUGGCAGCUCCACUCUGUCUCUGAGUAGGCAUGGAUUGGUCCAACUCCCAAAGUUGUUGAGGUCCUUCAUACGCUGCUCUGCUUCAGUGUGAAAGUUUUGGAUUAAGAGAGAAAGUAGUAGUCUAGUCAGACAAUUCAUGGCAUAUUCUGUUCUGUAUUAAUCAUUUCUAAAAUGGCAAAGGAGCAUGAACAGUUGUUUUUUUUGUUGUUAUGAGAUGAGUAUUUAAAGGAAUGUAGGAUGUCUAACUUGGAAAAGCAGAAGUUGUAGAGCUUAAUAGACGCCGCUAUUUGAAUAGAUUGGACUUAAGGCAGUUUGGCCUGAAGUUAUAGACAAGGGCCAAGAGUUAGAUCUCAACUCAUGAAAACACAUAUUUUGACUCAUUGGGUCUCUGAAGAGACCACCUCAAAAGGAAGUUUCCAGCUCAUUGGAAAUGCAAUUUUUAUCCAUCAGUGAUACUUUAAUACAUAAAAGAGAAACUAGCAUAAAAUCUUUCUUUAAAGUAUAUCAACAUACUCUUGUAGUUUUAAAUUUGUAAGUUGGUUACACCUAGUAUUUUUUCUAUUAUAAAUUGGUAAGUCAUGGUCAAGUAUUUCUAGUAACUUCCAUUUGUCUUUGCUAUAUUUUACACUUCUAAACAGGAAUUUUUACCUCUUGUUAAACUAUUUUAGAAGAAAAAUUUAGGAUACACAGCGCUAUUUAUUUCACAUAUGUUUUUGCAUUUCUCUCUGUCAGUAUAGGAAAUGUGCUGCUUUUGUUUUAAAUGUUUCUGGCAAGAUCUAUCCAUGGAAAGCAGUUUCCUGCUCACUAGGUGGUGGCCUGCUGCUUUCCAAGUGUUCUUGUAAGGAAAUUUUAUUAGUCCAAAUGAAGCUUUUUUAGUGAUUCUGUAUUGUUUUGAACCUGAAGGUUCAUCAUCAUCCAGGUCUGUUUCUUCU